This 516-nucleotide ribosomal RNA is filed under the name uncultured bacterium. RNAcentral describes it as "partial 16S ribosomal RNA". It matches the Rfam family "Bacterial small subunit ribosomal RNA", at positions 28 to 523 of the family's 1533-position model. The record is from RNAcentral.
GAUGAACGCUGGCGGCGUGCCUAAUACAUGCAAGUCGAACGCGUUGAGAAAAGUGCUUGCACUUUUCAAUUUGAGUGGCGAACGGGUGAGUAACACGUGGGCAACCUACCUGAUAGCGGGGGAUAACGAGUGGAAACAUUCGCUAAUACCGCAUAACAAUAGAGAAGGCAUCUUCUUUAUUUAAAAGGCGCUUUCAAGCGUCACUAACAGAUGGGCCCGCGGUGCAUUAGUUAGUUGGUGGGGUGAAGGCCUACCAAGACGAUGAUGCAUAGCCGAGUUGAGAGACUGAUCGGCCACAUUGGGACUGAGACACGGCCCAAAUUCCUACGGGAGGCUGCAGUAGGGAAUCUUCCACAAUGGACGAAAGUCUGAUGGAGCAACGCCGCGUGUGUGAUGAAGGCUUUCGGGUCGUAAAGCACUGUUGUAUGGGGAGAAAUGCUAGGCUAGGAAAUGAGCUUAGUUUGACGGUACCAUACCAGAAAGGGACGGCUAAAUACGUGCCAGCCGCCGCUGUAA